AUGGACGGCGGCGGUGGCGGCGGUGGCACAAGCGGCGACGACGGGAAGCAGGAGAAGCACCUGGUGCUUGCCCACAAGCUCUUCCUGCUCUCCCACCCCGAUGUUGACGACCUCUCGAAGGUCGACCUCCGCUCCGACGUCCUCUCCGCCGUCAAAUCCGAUGACAUGGCGCCGCUGUUCGAAUCGCUGGCCGCCGCGGGCGUGCUGGAGCCGGAUGCCGUGCUGCUCUCCGAGAUGCGCGCCCGGAUCGACGAGGAGAUCCGCAAGCUCGAUGAGAAAAUUGCCGAUGUUGAAGAGAAUUUGGGCGAGAGUGAAGUGCGUGAAGCCCAUCUUGCCAAGUCCUUGUACUUUGUAAAGGUUGGCGAGAAGGAAAAAGCACUGGAACAACUUAAAGUUACUGAAGGAAAAACUGUAGCCAUUGGCCAGAAGAUGGAUCUUGUGUUCUACACUUUGCAAAUUGGCCUUUUCUACAUGGACUUUGAUCUCAUCUCAAAAUCCAUUGAUAAGGCAAAGAAGUUGUUUGAGGAGGGAGGUGACUGGGAGAGAAAGAACAGAUUGAAAGUGUAUGAAGGCUUAUACUGCAUGGCAACCAGAAACUUCAAGAAAGCUACCAGCCUGUUUUUGGACUCCAUCUCAACUUUCACAACCUACGAGUUGUUUCCAUAUGACACUUUCAUCUUCUAUACAGUCCUCACAAGUAUCAUCUCAUUGGAUCGUGUAUCUCUAAAACAAAAGGUGGUGGAUGCACCGGAAAUCCUUGCAGUGAUUAGCAAAGUACCACACCUCUCAGAGUUUCUCAACUCUCUGUACAAUUGCCAGUACAAGUCAUUUUUUGUUGCAUUUUCUGGCUUGACGGAGCAGAUCAAGUUAGACCGUUAUCUUCAACCUCAUUUCCGCUACUAUAUGAGGGAAGUGCGCACUGUUGUCUACUCACAGUUUUUGGAGUCGUACAAGAGUGUGACAAUGGAAGCUAUGGCUUCUGCAUUUGGUGUGACUGUUGAUUUCAUAGACCAGGAACUUUCUCGCUUUAUUGCAGCUGGGAAGCUUCACUGCAAAAUUGACAAGGUCACUGGCGUUCUGGAGACAAACCGGCCUGAUGAAAGGAAUGCUUUCUACCAGUCGACCAUCAAGCAAGGGGACUUCUUGCUAAACCGCAUCCAGAAGCUAUCCCGAGUCAUUGAUCUGUAA
This 1188-nucleotide ribosomal RNA is filed under the name Triticum aestivum (bread wheat). RNAcentral describes it as "partial small subunit ribosomal RNA". Lineage: Eukaryota; Viridiplantae; Streptophyta; Magnoliopsida; Poales; Poaceae. The record is from RNAcentral.